Molecule: ribosomal RNA, 399 nt
Filed under: uncultured bacterium
Lineage: Bacteria
Description: bacterial SSU rRNA
Rfam family: Bacterial small subunit ribosomal RNA
Source: RNAcentral
AUUGAACGCUGGCGGCAUGCCUAACACAUGCAAGUCGAACGGUAACAGGCCCUUCGGGGUGCUGACGAGUGGCGGAUGGGUGAGUAAUACUUAGGAAUCUACCCUGUAGUGGGGGACAACCCGGGGAAACUCGGGCUAAUACCGCAUACGCUCUACGGAGGAAAGCGGGGGACCGGCAAGGCCUCGCGCUAUUGGAUGAGCCUAAGCCCGAUUAGCUAGUUGGUGGGGUAAUGGCCUACCAAGGCAAUGAUCGGUAGCUGGUCUGAGAGGACGACCAGCCACACUGGGACUGAGACACGGCCCAGACUCCUACGGGAGGGCAGCAGUGGGGAAUAUUGGACAAUGGGCGAAAGCCUGAUCCAGCGAUGCCGCGUGUGUGAAGAAGGCCUGCGGGGUUGU